GGGUUGUGAGGUUAAGCGACUAAGCGUACACGGUGGAUGCCCUGGCAGUCAGAGGCGAUGAAGGACGUGCUAAUCUGCGAUAAGCGUCGGUAAGGUGAUAUGAACCGUUAUAACCGGCGAUUUCCGAAUGGGGAAACCCAGUGUGAUUCGUCACACUAUCAUUAACUGAAUCCAUAGGUUAAUGAGGCGAACCGGGGGAACUGAAACAUCUAAGUACCCCGAGGAAAAGAAAUCAACCGAGAUUCCCCCAGUAGCGGCGAGCGAACGGGGAGCAGCCCAGAGCCUGAAUCAGUGUGUGUGUUAGUGGAAGCGUCUGGAAAGGCGCGCGAUACAGGGUGACAGCCCCGUACACAAAAAUGCACAUGCUGUGAGCUCGAUGAGUAGGGCGGGACACGUGGUAUCCUGUCUGAAUAUGGGGGGACCAUCCUCCAAGGCUAAAUACUCCUGACUGACCGAUAGUGAACCAGUACCGUGAGGGAAAGGCGAAAAGAACCCCGGCGAGGGGAGUGAAAAAGAACCUGAAACCGUGUACGUACAAGCAGUGGGAGCACGCUUAGGCGUGUGACUGCGUACCUUUUGUAUAAUGGGUCAGCGACUUAUAUUCUGUAGCAAGGUUAACCGAAUAGGGGAGCCGAAGGGAAACCGAGUCUUAACUGGGCGUUAAGUUGCAGGGUAUAGACCCGAAACCCGGUGAUCUAGCCAUGGGCAGGUUGAAGGUUGGGUAACACUAACUGGAGGACCGAACCGACUAAUGUUGAAAAAUUAGCGGAUGACUUGUGGCUGGGGGUGAAAGGCCAAUCAAACCGGGAGAUAGCUGGUUCUCCCCGAAAGCUAUUUAGGUAGCGCCUCGUGAAUUCAUCUCCGGGGGUAGAGCACUGUUUCGGCAAGGGGGUCAUCCCGACUUACCAACCCGAUGCAAACUGCGAAUACCGGAGAAUGUUAUCACGGGAGACACACGGCGGGUGCUAACGUCCGUCGUGAAGAGGGAAACAACCCAGACCGCCAGCUAAGGUCCCAAAGUCAUGGUUAAGUGGGAAACGAUGUGGGAAGGCCCAGACAGCCAGGAUGUUGGCUUAGAAGCAGCCAUCAUUUAAAGAAAGCGUAAUAGCUCACUGGUCGAGUCGGCCUGCGCGGAAGAUGUAACGGGGCUAAACCAUGCACCGAAGCUGCGGCAGCGACGCUUAUGCGUUGUUGGGUAGGGGAGCGUUCUGUAAGCCUGUGAAGGUGUGCUGUGAGGCAUGCUGGAGGUAUCAGAAGUGCGAAUGCUGACAUAAGUAACGAUAAAGCGGGUGAAAAGCCCGCUCGCCGGAAGACCAAGGGUUCCUGUCCAACGUUAAUCGGGGCAGGGUGAGUCGACCCCUAAGGCGAGGCCGAAAGGCGUAGUCGAUGGGAAACAGGUUAAUAUUCCUGUACUUGGUGUUACUGCGAAGGGGGGACGGAGAAGGCUAUGUUGGCCGGGCGACGGUUGUCCCGGUUUAAGCGUGUAGGCUGGUUUUCCAGGCAAAUCCGGAAAAUCAAGGCUGAGGCGUGAUGACGAGGCACUACGGUGCUGAAGCAACAAAUGCCCUGCUUCCAGGAAAAGCCUCUAAGCAUCAGGUAACAUCAAAUCGUACCCCAAACCGACACAGGUGGUCAGGUAGAGAAUACCAAGGCGCUUGAGAGAACUCGGGUGAAGGAACUAGGCAAAAUGGUGCCGUAACUUCGGGAGAAGGCACGCUGAUAUGUAGGUGAAGUCCCUCGCGGAUGGAGCUGAAAUCAGUCGAAGAUACCAGCUGGCUGCAACUGUUUAUUAAAAACACAGCACUGUGCAAACACGAAAGUGGACGUAUACGGUGUGACGCCUGCCCGGUGCCGGAAGGUUAAUUGAUGGGGUCAGCGCAAGCGAAGCUCUUGAUCGAAGCCCCGGUAAACGGCGGCCGUAACUAUAACGGUCCUAAGGUAGCGAAAUUCCUUGUCGGGUAAGUUCCGACCUGCACGAAUGGCGUAAUGAUGGCCAGGCUGUCUCCACCCGAGACUCAGUGAAAUUGAACUCGCUGUGAAGAUGCAGUGUACCCGCGGCAAGACGGAAAGACCCCGUGAACCUUUACUAUAGCUUGACACUGAACAUUGAGCCUUGAUGUGUAGGAUAGGUGGGAGGCUUAGAAGUGUGGACGCCAGUCUGCAUGGAGCCGACCUUGAAAUACCACCCUUUAAUGUUUGAUGUUCUAACGUUGACCCGUAAUCCGGGUUGCGGACAGUGUCUGGUGGGUAGUUUGACUGGGGCGGUCUCCUCCUAAAGAGUAACGGAGGAGCACGAAGGUUGGCUAAUCCUGGUCGGACAUCAGGAGGUUAGUGCAAUGGCAUAAGCCAGCUUGACUGCGAGCGUGACGGCGCGAGCAGGUGCGAAAGCAGGUCAUAGUGAUCCGGUGGUUCUGAAUGGAAGGGCCAUCGCUCAACGGAUAAAAGGUACUCCGGGGAUAACAGGCUGAUACCGCCCAAGAGUUCAUAUCGACGGCGGUGUUUGGCACCUCGAUGUCGGCUCAUCACAUCCUGGGGCUGAAGUAGGUCCCAAGGGUAUGGCUGUUCGCCAUUUAAAGUGGUACGCGAGCUGGGUUUAGAACGUCGUGAGACAGUUCGGUCCCUAUCUGCCGUGGGCGCUGGAGAACUGAGGGGGGCUGCUCCUAGUACGAGAGGACCGGAGUGGACGCAUCACUGGUGUUCGGGUUGUCAUGCCAAUGGCACUGCCCGGUAGCUAAAUGCGGAAGAGAUAAGUGCUGAAAGCAUCUAAGCACGAAACUUGCCCCGAGAUGAGUUCUCCCUGACUCCUUGAGAGUCCUGAAGGAACGUUGAAGACGACGACGUUGAUAGGCCGGGUGUGUAAGCGCAGCGAUGCGUUGAGCUAACCGGUACUAAUGAACCGUGAGGCUUAACCUUACAACGCCGAAGGUGUUU
RNAcentral lists this ribosomal RNA (2931 nucleotides) under Escherichia coli. Its description in RNAcentral is "bacterial LSU rRNA". It matches the Rfam family "Bacterial large subunit ribosomal RNA". The record is from RNAcentral. RNAcentral also lists the same sequence under 1 other name. Lineage: Bacteria; Pseudomonadati; Pseudomonadota; Gammaproteobacteria; Enterobacterales; Enterobacteriaceae.